GAUGAACGCUGGCGGCGUGCUUAACACAUGCCAGUCGAACGGAAAGGCCAGUGCUUGCACUGGUACUCGAGUGGCGAACGGGUGAGUAACACGUGGGUGAUCUGCCCUGCACUUCGGGAUAAGCCUGGGAAACUGGGUCUAAUACCGGAUAGGACAAUGGUUUGGAUGCCGUUGUGGAAAGUUUUUUCGGUGUGGGAUGAGCUCGCGGCCUAUCAGCUUGUUGGUGGGGUAAUGGCCUACCAAGGCGUCGACGGGUAGCCGGCCUGAGAGGGUGUACGGCCACAUUGGGACUGAGAUACGGCCCAGACUCCUACGGGAGGCAGCAGUGGGGAAUAUUGCACAAUGGGCGCAAGCCUGAUGCAGCGACGCCGCGUGGGGGAUGACGGCCUUCGGGUUGUAAACUCCUUUCGCUAGGGACGAAGCGUAUUUGUGACGGUACCUGGAGAAGAAGCACCGGCUAACUACGU
RNAcentral lists this ribosomal RNA (467 nucleotides) under uncultured bacterium. RNAcentral describes it as "partial 16S ribosomal RNA". It matches the Rfam family "Bacterial small subunit ribosomal RNA", at positions 28 to 506 of the family's 1533-position model. The record is from RNAcentral.